CUCUUUAUCCCUCUCACUUACUCUUUAUUCAUAUCUAGCUUCAGCAUAAUCUGCCUUCCCUCUGUGUCCCCUCUUCCCCCUUCCCUCCCCCUUCCUCCCUCUCUUCCCCUCCCUCCCCCCCCCUCCCCCCUUGCCCCUCCCUCCUCCCUCCCCCGCUGCCCCUCCCCCUCUCUCCUUCCCCCUUCCUCCCUUCCCUUCCUCCCUCCUUCUCCUCCCCCUUCCCUCCCCCUCCCUCCCUUCCUCCCUCCUUCCCUCCCUCCUUCUUUACCCAUUCCCCCUCCCCUCCUCCUCCCUCCCCCCUCCUUUUCCCAUUCCCCCCUCCCUUCCCCAUUCCCCCUCCCUCCCCCUCCUCCCUUUGUCCCCCUUCCCUCUUCCUCCCUCCUUCCUCCCCCUCCCUCCUCCCCCUCCUUUUCUCAUCCUCCCUUCCCUCCCCCUCUCUCCCCCUCCCUCCCCCUCCUUUUCUCAUCCUUCCUCCCCUCCCUCCCCCUCCUCCCUCUUUCCUUCCCCCCCUCCCUCCCUCUUCCUUCCGUCUCCCUUCCCUCCGUCCUCCUCCCCUCCGUCCCCCUCCCUUCCCUCCCCCUCCCUCCUCCUCCCCUUCCUCUCCUCCCUCCUCUCCCCCCCCUUUCCCAUCCCCUCCCCCCUCCCCAUCCCUCCCCUUCUCCCCCCCUCCCUCCCAGUUCCAUAACUGCCACCUCCCGCAGUCCUGUGUCCCAGCGUGGGCGCCGCGGCCGGUCCCCGGUGCUCCUUCCGCUCCCCUUUCACUUCCCUUCAAGCCCCUCGGCGCAUCCACGCCUGCUGAGUUUCCAUUCUCAGUUUUCCGGAGGCUGUAACUUGGGCCCAGAAAUCUCAGUGUCCUGCUGCCCUGACGUUUUACCUCCCCUUGGUUCCAGGAGGGCGGACAUCUGGCCCAGCUGCGGUUUCCUUAAAUGCCUCAGUUUCCCUUCCGGACUUGGCUCGGACAUUUGCCCCCCCCCCCCCCCCCCCCCCCGCCCUCGAGGUCACUAA
This 1005-nucleotide long non-coding RNA is filed under the name Canis lupus familiaris (dog). Its description in RNAcentral is "lncRNA (ENSCAFG00030006949.1)". The record is from RNAcentral. Lineage: Eukaryota; Metazoa; Chordata; Mammalia; Carnivora; Canidae.